GUCUUAGGUAUAUUCUUCCCUAGGUAUUAGGGAAUUAGUUCAUAAUCCUUAAUGAAAACAUCUCAAAGUCAGAAUAACCACAAGACAUAAAGAAACUCAUGAAAAAUUCGAAAAAAAUUAAAAGGAGAUCUUCAAUCUUAAUGGAGAUCUGCUUUUGAGUUGGCUCCGAUGGUGUUCUUUGAGUGUUUUCUUCGAUCUUCUCCGAUUGCCCCCUUAUCUCUUCUUUUAUUUGGUAUUUAUAGACUUUAGAAUGCUCAAAAAGUCUAAAAAUUGUGUUUUUUCGCAUGUUAACAAGGUGCGAAAUCAACACGAGCUAGCACAUGGACAUGUGUCCAACCUGUGUGGGUCACAUAGGCGCAUGCCUUGUAAUACCCCUAACCCGUGUCCGUCACCAGAACAGGGUUAUGGAGCAUUACUGGACCCAUCGGACAAUUUACAAUUAAUAUACAAAUAAUUAUCAAAUAUAAUAUAAAAUAAUCUUAAAGUCUCUUAGUUAGGAGUGAUUCAGGACUAAUUCGAAAACUCGAGAAUUUUUUUUUUGCGAACUCAAUAUAACUCCUUUAUAAAUAUCUAGCCUUCCCUGCAAUUUCAACCGCAACCAAUUUACAAUCAAUAUGGAAACCAAUACAUUUUCACAUUCAAACAUAUUUAAAUCAUGCCUAAAACAUUUACUUAUCAAAUUGAUCAACAACAUUCAUAAUACUAUAUAAAAGUUAACUAAUAAACUUCGUUCAUUUCAUUUCAAUUUUAGUACCAAACUAACUCAAAAGUAUAUCAAUUUAACUUACUAUAACCAUCAAUUCAUCUUAAGUUCAAACAUGCAUUUUCUCAACACUUAAACAACCAAUUCAUAUGGCCAAAUACACACCAACCUUUAUAAGCUAAAUCUAAUGGCUAAUAUCAUAACUCAAAACAUACCAAGAUGACACUAGCCUAUACAUGCCAUAUACCAUAUAUAUACAAUUCAAAAGUACCAACUUAGAUGUCCGAUAAGGUGGUGAUGUUCCUGACGACUUUUGGAUCCGAGCUAGCCUUGAUUCUCUAUAAAACAUAAGAAAAUAACACAAAGUAAGCUUCAUAGCUUAGUAAGCUCAUAAGUGAAUAAUUCAAUACAUCAAAUACAUACAAUUCAACUAAUUGUCCAUAACAUUACCAUAUAUACAAUUACAACAAACCUUUCUCAUGUCUUAAAACAUGAUCAAAUACCAUUUCAUUAUCUUUCUCUAUUAAAUACUCGAAUAGGUUCUGUAUGUACCUGUACCGUCUCGUACUAACCUCUUUCUCAAUCAUCUCAUUCAUUUACCCGUUGAACCAUUCGGAAUCGAAAUCGGAUACUCAAAUGUCUCAUAUGAUAAAUACCUAUACCAUGUCCCAUAGCCAAAUCAAGGUAACUUCUCCAAAGAACUAUUAUCAUGGCCCGAAGCCAAAUCGAUAUAAAUCACACUCGAAGUGCUAAUAUCAUGGCCCGAAGCCAACUCAUCCUAUAUGCAUGGCCCGAAACCAAAUCGGUAUAUCAACUUAUAACAUUUCACAAGUAUCCAAUUUUAUUCCUAAGGUUCAACCGAGAUUUCUAGCUUGUCGAUUCUAUCUUCGAAUAUAUCCGUAAAGUCAUAUUUACAAUUCAUACAUUAAUGAAAAUCUCGUAAUCACAAUUUAGGCAUAAUCAAAUAAUUUAACAUACAUUAUAAUGAAAUCAUCACAUUACGAACUUACCUCGUACUCGGAAUUGACGAAUCGGAUCGAUUACUCGAUAAUUUUUCCUUUCCCCUAAUCUAAUUCCGAAUUCCUCUUUUCUUAAUUUAUAUGUAUUCAAAAUUAACUCAUUUAAUCAUAUAAUCAUUAAAUUCAGUCCAAAAACACAUAUUUAAGCCAAUUUAUACUUUGGCCCUAAACUUUCACAUUUCUUACAAUUUAGUCCCUAUUUCACAAAUACACAAAAUUCAUAAAAUUCAACAAGAGCCAUGCUUGGCCGAAUUACCAUAGUGCCCCUAGCAACCCAUAUUUCAUAUUUAUUCACACUUUUAACCCCACAUUUUUAUCUUUUCAUAAUUUAAUCCCUAAUUUGCAUUUUCAUCAAAAAAACCACUUUAUAAAAUAUGAAAAUCUAACAUCAAAUAUUCAUAUUCACCAUUAAACAUCAAAGAACACAUAAGCUCAUCAAUGGAAACUAUCAAAAUCUUUAAUAGUUUUGAAAUCGAAGGCACGGGCUAGCUAGUACUAGAUGCAACGAUCACAAAAACAUAGAAAUAAUUAAAAACUGAAUAAAAAUGCAUACCAAAUAGGCAAGAAUGAGAUUGCCGAAUGCUUAAGCAUAAAAAUAGCUUCCAAAUCCCUAACUUUCGGUUGAAAGUGAUGAAAGAAAG
This 2363-nucleotide long non-coding RNA is filed under the name Gossypium barbadense (sea-island cotton). RNAcentral describes it as "long non-coding RNA (GBAR_LNC015267)". The record is from RNAcentral. Lineage: Eukaryota; Viridiplantae; Streptophyta; Magnoliopsida; Malvales; Malvaceae.